GAUGAACGCUGGCGGCGUGCCUAAUACAUGCGAGUCGAGCGAACAGACGAGGAGCUUGCUCCUCUGACGUUAGCGGCGGACGUGUGAGUAACACGUGUAUAACCUACCUAUAAGACUGGGAUAACUUCGGGAAACCGGAGCUAAUACCGGAUAAUAUAUUGAACCGCAUGGUUCAAUAGUGAAAGACGGUUUUGCUGUCACUUAUAGAUGGAUCCGCGCCGCAUUAGAUAGUUGGUAAGGUAACGGCUUACCAAGGCAACGAUGCGUAGCCGAACUGAGGGGGUGAUAGGCCACACUGGAACUGAGACACGGUCAAGACUCCUACGGGAGGCAGCAGUAGGGAAUCUUACGCAAUGGGCGAAAGCAUGACGGAGCAACGCCGCGUGAGUGAUGACGGUCUUGGGAGCGUAAAAAUCUGUUAUUAGGGAAGAACAAAUGUGGAAGUAACUAUGCACGUAUUGACGGUAACUAAUAAGAAAGCAACGGCUAACUACGUG
RNAcentral lists this ribosomal RNA (497 nucleotides) under uncultured bacterium. Its description in RNAcentral is "partial 16S ribosomal RNA". It matches the Rfam family "Bacterial small subunit ribosomal RNA", at positions 28 to 507 of the family's 1533-position model. The record is from RNAcentral.